This is a long non-coding RNA of Hibiscus syriacus, 559 nucleotides long. RefSeq lists it as uncharacterized. The record is from RefSeq and is a predicted model, not a curated record. NCBI's taxonomy places the organism in Eukaryota, Viridiplantae, Streptophyta, Magnoliopsida, Malvales, Malvaceae. The transcript is spliced from 4 exons.
GCUUUAAUUUGCAGGUAUAACGUGUUCUUGGAUUGCCCCAUAACCGUUGAUGUAAAUAGACUUAUCCAUGGUGGCCAUUUAAUAAAAUAUGAAAGUGAAGGAUAUGCAAGAAUUGUUAUAAUGCCUCGUUAUGGAGAUGAAGAUUCAAUCCGGUGGUUUGAAGUGAAACCAAAUUGCACAUUUCACAUUAUCAAUUGCUUUGAGGAUGGUGAUGAGGUUGUUGUAUGGGGGUCUAGAGCUCUUGCAUCAGUCAUACCAAGACCUCAACCGGGUUCAAAGCAAUUUGAGUGGUUUCCAGCAAAAUUUAAGCCCGGUAAACCAAUGGAAGAUGCCAUUUCAGAAGACCAGUUAUUAUUUCAUCGUCCAUAUUAAUGGAGACUGAAUGUGCGAACCGGAGAAGUGAUGGAGAGAUUUCUGAUAGAACCAAAUCAUUUCCCCAUGGGAUUUCCUAUGAUUAAUGAAGCUUUUAUAGGUGUCAAAAACAAGUACUGUUACACCCAAGUUUGUAAUUUUGACCCAAGAUCCGCCUCAGAUAGUAGAAAAAACAUAAGCCCCCUUA